GGUGGCUCAGUGGUAGAGUGCUUGCCUUGCAUGCAUGAGGCCCUGGAUUCAAUUCUCAGCACCA
RNAcentral lists this transfer RNA (64 nucleotides) under Dipodomys ordii (Ord's kangaroo rat). It matches the Rfam family "tRNA". From Rfam's summary of the family: Transfer RNA (tRNA) molecules are approximately 80 nucleotides in length. Their secondary structure includes four short double-helical elements and three loops (D, anti-codon, and T loops). Lineage: Eukaryota; Metazoa; Chordata; Mammalia; Rodentia; Heteromyidae. The record is from Rfam by way of RNAcentral.